Molecule: ribosomal RNA, 373 nt
Filed under: uncultured organism
Description: partial 16S ribosomal RNA
Rfam family: Bacterial small subunit ribosomal RNA
Source: RNAcentral
GUAGGUGGCAAGCGUUGUCCGGAAUUAUUGGGCGUAAAGCGCGCGCGGGCGGUUCUUUAAGUCUGAUGUGAAAGCCCACGGGCUCAACCGUGGAGGGUCAUUGGAAACUGGAGAACUUGAGUACAGAAGAGGAAAGCGGAAUUCCACGUGUAGCGGUGAAAUGCGUAGAGAUGUGGAGGAACACCAGUGGCGAAGGCGGCUUUCUGGUCUGUAACUGACGCUGAGGCGCGAAAGCGUGGGGAGCAAACAGGAUUAGAUACCCUGGUAGUCCACGCCGUAAACGAUGAGUGCUAAGUGUUAGGGGGUUUCCGCCCCUUAGUGCUGCAGCUAACGCAUUAAGCACUCCGCCUGGGGAGUACGGCCGCAAAGGCUG